RNAcentral lists this ribosomal RNA (460 nucleotides) under Tetragnatha ceylonica. Its description in RNAcentral is "partial large subunit ribosomal RNA". It matches the Rfam family "Bacterial large subunit ribosomal RNA", at positions 1811 to 2610 of the family's 2925-position model. The record is from RNAcentral. Lineage: Eukaryota; Metazoa; Arthropoda; Arachnida; Araneae; Tetragnathidae.
AAACAUUUCUUUUAAAAAUUAAUUAAAGUAAAACCUGCUCAAUGAUAAAUUAAAUGGCCGCAGUAAUUUAACUGUGCUAAGGUAGCAUAAUCAUUAGUCUCCUAAUUAGAGACUAGAAUGAAUGGUUUAACAUUUCCUUUACUUUUUUACUAAUAUAAUAUAAAAUUAUAUUAAAUAUAAAAAUAUAUUUAUAUAAAAAAUAGACGACAAGACCCUUUCAAACUUAACUUAAGUUAAGCUGGGGAAGCUCUUUAAAUAAAAUCUUAAUAAUUUUGAUAUAAAUAGACCCAAUUAUAGUUGAAUAAUUGAACAAGUUACUGAAGGGAUAACAGCAUAAUUAAUUUAAAUAGAUCUUAUUUAAAAAUUAGUUUAUGACCUCGAUGUUGAAUUAUUUUUCUCCUAAACGCAAGAGUAUAGAAAGUAGGUCUGUUCGACCUUUAAACUUUUACAUGAUCUGAGU